This 844-nucleotide ribosomal RNA is filed under the name uncultured bacterium. RNAcentral's name for it is "bacterial SSU rRNA". It matches the Rfam family "Bacterial small subunit ribosomal RNA", at positions 51 to 890 of the family's 1533-position model. The record is from RNAcentral.
ACACAUGCAAGUCGAACGAGAAUCUUUGGAAUGAUUCUUUCGGGAUGAAUUCCAAAGAGGAAAGUGGCGGACGGGCGAGUAACGCGUGAGUAACCUGCCCAUAAGAGGGGGAUAAUCCAUGGAAACGUGGACUAAUACCGCAUAUUGUAGUUAAGUUGCAUGACUUGAUUAUGAAAGAUUUAUCGCUUAUGGAUGGACUCGCGUCAGAUUAGAUAGUUGGUGAGGUAACGGCUCACCAAGUCAACGAUCUGUAGCCGAACUGAGAGGUUGAUCGGCCGCAUUGGGACUGAGACACGGCCCAGACUCCUACGGGAGGCAGCAGUGGGGAAUAUUGCGCAAUGGGGGCAACCCUGACGCAGCAACGCCGCGUGCAGGAAGAAGGUCUUCGGAUUGUAAACUGUUGUCGCAAGGGAAGAAGACAGUGACGGUACCUUGUGAGAAAGUCACGGCUAACUACGUGCCAGCAGCCGCGGUAAUACGUAGGUGACAAGCGUUGUCCGGAUUUACUGGGUGUAAAGGGCGCGUAGGCGGACUGUCAAGUCAGUCGUGAAAUACCGGGGCUUAACCCCGGGGCUGCGAUUGAAACUGACAGCCUUGAGUAUCGGAGAGGAAAGCGGAAUUCCUAGUGUAGCGGUGAAAUGCGUAGAUAUUAGGAGGAACACCAGUGGCGAAGGCGGCUUUCUGGACGACAACUGACGCUGAGGCGCGAAAGUGUGGGGAGCAAACAGGAUUAGAUACCCUGGUAGUCCACACCGUAAACGAUGGAUACUAGGUGUAGGAGGUAUCGACCCCUUCUGUGCCGCAGUUAACACAAUAAGUAUUCCACCUGGGGAGUACGAUCGCA